ACGUACACUCCUGCGGGAGGCAGCAGUGGGGAAUAUCGCACAAUGGGCGCAAGCCUGAUGCAGCCAUGCCGCGUGUAUGAAGAAGGCCUUCGGGUUGUAAAGUACUUUCAGCGGGGAGGAAGGCGAUAAGGUUAAUAACCUUGUCGAUUGACGUUACCCGCAGAAGAAGCACCGGCUAACUCCGUGCCAGCAGCCGCGGUAAUACGGAGGGUGCAAGCGUUAAUCGGAAUUACUGGGCGUAAAGCGCACGCAGGCGGUCUGUCAAGUCGGAUGUGAAAUCCCCGGGCUCAACCUGGGAACUGCAUUCGAAACUGGCAGGCUAGAGUCUUGUAGAGGGGGGUAGAAUUCCAGGUGUAGCGGUGAAAUGCGUAGAGAUCUGGAGGAAUACCGGUGGCGAAGGCGGCCCCCUGGACAAAGACUGACGCUCAGGUGCGAAAGCGUGGGGAGCAAACAGGAUUAGAAACCCGAGUAGUCCCAUGA
This 480-nucleotide ribosomal RNA is filed under the name uncultured organism. RNAcentral describes it as "partial 16S ribosomal RNA". It matches the Rfam family "Bacterial small subunit ribosomal RNA", at positions 329 to 800 of the family's 1533-position model. The record is from RNAcentral.